Molecule: ribosomal RNA, 449 nt
Filed under: uncultured bacterium
Lineage: Bacteria
Description: bacterial SSU rRNA
Rfam family: Bacterial small subunit ribosomal RNA
Source: RNAcentral
GAUCCUGGCUCAGAGCGAACGCUGGCGGCAGGCUUAACACAUGCAAGUCGAGCGGGCGUAGCAAUACGUCAGCGGCAGACGGGUGAGUAACGCGUGGGAACAUACCUUUUGGUUCGGAACAACACAGGGAAACUUGUGCUAAUACCGGAUAAGCCCUUACGGGGGAAAGAUUUAUCGCCGAAAGAUUGGCCCGCGUCUGAUUAGCUAGUUGGUGAGGUAACGGCUCACCAAGGCGACGAUCAGUAGCUGGUCUGAGAGGAUGAUCAGCCACAUUGGGACUGAGACACGGCCCAAACUCCUACGGGAGGCAGCAGUGGGGAAUAUUGGACAAUGGGCGCAAGCCUGAUCCAGCCAUGCCGCGUGAGUGAUGAAGGCCCUAGGGUUGUAAAGCUCUUUUGUGCGGGAAGAUAAUGACGGUACCGCAAGAAUAAGCCCCGGCUAACUUCGUG